This 437-nucleotide ribosomal RNA is filed under the name uncultured bacterium. RNAcentral describes it as "partial 16S ribosomal RNA". It matches the Rfam family "Bacterial small subunit ribosomal RNA", at positions 29 to 507 of the family's 1533-position model. The record is from RNAcentral.
AGCGAACGCUGGCAGCAGGCUUAACACAUGCAAGUCGAGCGGGCAUCCUUGUGGUGUCCGCGGCAGACGGGUGAGUAACGCGUGGGAACGUGCCCUUCGGUUCGGAAUAACUCAGGGAAACUUGAGCUAAUACCGGAUACGUGCGAGAGCAGAAAGGUUUAUCUGCCGAAGGAUCGGCCCGCGUCUGAUUAGCUAGUUGGUGAGGUUAUGGCUCACCAAGGCGACGAUCAGUAGCUGGUCUGAGAGGAUGAUCAGCCACACUGGGACUGAGACACGGCCCAGACUCCUACGGGAGGCAGCAGUGGGGAAUAUUGGACAAUGGGGGCAACCCUGAUCCAGCCAUGCCGCGUGAGUGAUGACGGCCUUAGGGUUGUAAAGCUCUUUUCUCCGGGACGAUAAUGACGGUACCGGAGGAAUAAGCCCCGGCUAACUUCGUG